Molecule: ribosomal RNA, 465 nt
Filed under: Vreelandella stevensii
Lineage: Bacteria; Pseudomonadati; Pseudomonadota; Gammaproteobacteria; Oceanospirillales; Halomonadaceae
Description: partial 16S ribosomal RNA
Rfam family: Bacterial small subunit ribosomal RNA
Source: RNAcentral
CCUACGGGUGGCAGCAGUGGGGAAUAUUGGACAAUGGGCGAAAGCCUGAUCCAGCCAUGCCGCGUGUGUGAAGAAGGCCUUCGGGUUGUAAAGCACUUUCAGUGGGGAAGAAAGCCUUGGGGCUAAUACCCUCGAGGAAGGACAUCACCCACAGAAGAAGCACCGGCUAACUCCGUGCCAGCAGCCGCGGUAAUACGGAGGGUGCGAGCGUUAAUCGGAAUUACUGGGCGUAAAGCGCGCGUAGGCGGUCUGAUAAGCCGGUUGUGAAAGCCCCGGGCUCACCCUGGGAACGGCAUCCGGAACUGUCAGGCUAGAGUGCAGGAGAGGAAGGUAGAAUUCCCGGUGUAGCGGUGAAAUGCGUAGAGAUCGGGAGGAAUACCAGUGGCGAAGGCGGCCUUCUGGACUGACACUGACGCUGAGGUGCGAAAGCGUGGGUAGCAAACAGGAUUAGAUACCCUGGUAGUC